This 1831-nucleotide long non-coding RNA is filed under the name Macaca nemestrina (pig-tailed macaque). RNAcentral's name for it is "lncRNA (ENSMNEG00000046095.1)". Lineage: Eukaryota; Metazoa; Chordata; Mammalia; Primates; Cercopithecidae. The record is from RNAcentral.
GGAGAACCAAGAAAAAUAGUUGUAAAUUGCUGGGUGCUUGUAAGUGCUAGAGAUACUGCUCACAUGUACAUAUGUUUGCAUUUAAAUGCUCACAAAAGCCCUACAAGAAACAUGGGACUUAGACAUAAUUUAUUAUUGAUUAUCCAAAGUAGGAUUGGAAUCUUCAUCGUAAAAUCCUGGAUUCAUAACCAUUCUGCUAUAAUGCCUCUGAGAGAACAGAAAAUGAACUUUUCUGGCUCAAAGGUUUUGCAAAUUCUUCAUAAAAUGAAGGAAACGUGAAUUCACCUCCCAACCCCUCAGCAUGACAUCUUCUCUCCAGCACAAAUCACAGCCUAGUUGUUUGCUGCAUAAACCUUUUAUUGGCUGCCCUUUCCUUAGGACGAGAGCAAAACCUUUGACUUGACCCGUACCAUCAGCCUGGACUCUGCUGAUUCCUGCCCUCACCUCUAGUUUGCUUCUCUUCAGCCCACCUACUGGACUAGAUCCCUAUCUAUCUCAGGACAUCUUGCAAAAGUUGUUCCCUUUGCAGAAACUGUCUCCUUACCACCAGUCUCUAACCACCACAUGUGUGCAUGCAUGCAUACACACACAAAAACAUACAUGGUUCUCUUGAUAUGUCUUGUAUUUCUCCUUCAAAGAAAUAUUGUGUGAUUAUUUGAUGAAUGCCUGUCUCUCCCACUGGGACCAUCAGUUUAGAAAUGAUGUGGAUAUGCUCACCAAGUUAUUUGCAGAGCUUAGCAGAGUGGGAUAGAAGAGGUAUGGAACAAAUAUUUAUUGACUAAAUGGACGAAUGAGUGAGUGAAUGAAUAUAAGCUCCCUGCUACUAUACCUGGGCUGUGCAUGUUCUCAGUAUUACAUCCAACCUGGUCCUGGUUUUUCCCUCUGCCUAUCCUAUCCCUCUUUUUACCCCUAACCAAACAGCUUUCCUAACCUCUUCAGCCCCUCCGAUUGUCAGCUCACUUGGAAGUUCAUGGAGGGUAGGAACAGCCUCUCAUUUCUUCAGUGGCUGUCUCAGCGUCUAGCAAGGGGCCGUGGACUUAGUCAGUACCCAGCAUUUAUACUGAGUGAAUUCAUUUGGACAACUGCUGGCUAUCAACCUGCCUCCUUCUUUUUGCAGACCCACGCCGGAGACCUCACCAGGUGCACAUAUUUCCUGCUGCUGAAUGGCUUAGACUGGGAUUUGCAAGGAAUCACGAAGUUCAAGACCUCUGCCUUUCUUUUAGAAGAAGGCACCAGCUGGUUCUCCAAUGUUGAAGGUCUUCUCCAGAGAUGAACUCUGAAAGCCGCAUGUUGAGAUGGCCUCAUUACAGAUGGAGAGCGCCUGAACCCCCAAGUUAAGGAACAGCAGAAGAGAGUUGCCCUGGAAAAUCAUCUGACCCACAUUGGACUUUAUGUGAGGGAGAAAUAAACCUUUAUUAUGUUAAGCUACACAAUAAUAAUAAUAAUAACAAUAAUUGUGUUUAUUUGUUACCUCAGCUUAGCAUGGCCUUCCUACCUGACACACAUCUCUGGGUUUUGCUCUUCUCUGCAUUGGUUUAAUUCUCAGGCAGGUUCUCCCUCCGGGCUCCUGGGCUCACACCCCCAUGUCCAGCAGAAUGAGCCACUUCUCUAGAUUCAUGAACCAUGAAUCUAGAGAGGGCAGCCUGAGGAAUGUGCUGACUGGCCAGGCAUGGGUCAGGUGCCCUCCAGGGCAAGACUGAUACUGGGUUUUCCAGAGAAAAAUGGGGACACUGGUAUCAGAAGAAAGGUGAGCAUCAAGACCAAGAUGUCCACACAGGUCUGGUGAGUCCCCACCUCAGUGAUAGUCCCCCUGCACGGCCAUGGAUGAAGG